UUUAACUGAAGAGUUUGAUCAUGGCUCAGAUUGAACGCUGGCGGCAGGCUUAACACAUGCAAGUCGAGCGGGGGAAGGUAGCUUGCUACUGGACCUAGCGGCGGACGGGUGAGUA
This 115-nucleotide ribosomal RNA is filed under the name Acinetobacter baumannii. RNAcentral describes it as "partial 16S ribosomal RNA". It matches the Rfam family "Bacterial small subunit ribosomal RNA", at positions 1 to 112 of the family's 1533-position model. The record is from RNAcentral. Lineage: Bacteria; Pseudomonadati; Pseudomonadota; Gammaproteobacteria; Moraxellales; Moraxellaceae.